Sphaeramia orbicularis (orbiculate cardinalfish) is the source of this 1759-nucleotide long non-coding RNA. RefSeq lists it as uncharacterized. The transcript has 2 exons. Lineage: Eukaryota; Metazoa; Chordata; Actinopteri; Kurtiformes; Apogonidae. The record is from RefSeq and is a predicted model, not a curated record.
AAAAACCACAAAAAUCAGUCCAUAGAUGCAAUGGUGCUUUCUUCAGAAACAUGUAGUAGAAAAUAAAAUAAUGUGUCAGUUCAGAAACAAUUUGAAAUCCAGCAGGUUUAGAAUAAAGCAAAAUGUAAAAGAAGAAGAAAAUAUCACUAUCACAAAGUACUUUUUGUUUUUCAAACAAGUUGAAUCAAAUACUGAAGUCCUGUGGAUAGUCGAAUUAAUUAAACACACUUUUUUCUUCUUUGCAUGGUCAACAAGUGGUGAAUGAAAAUGUUUAAAAAUCGGAAUUACUAAAAUCAAAACUCUCUAAAAUUGUCAGGAAAUGGUUCCAAAAACAAUGUCUGUUUUUCUUCCUGUGAUACCAUCUGUGGUACAAGAUGAGUAGACAGCUGUGGAGAAAAGGCUGAUGUUGUAUUUCUCUGGAAGGGACUUUGACAUUGGAUUUGUUCUAAAAAACGCCUUGAACUUCACAUGUAACACAUUUUGUGUUCAGUACCUGUUUCUGAAAAAUCCGACCAAUGACUGUCAUGCACGGACACAGAUGUCACCAACUGACCAUCACCAAUAUCACCGACUGAGCUGCCUGACAGUAAUAAAGCCACAAUUUAUUUUAACACUCAUACAUUAAAAAAAAGUAUACCUGGAAGUAUUAAUGCUGUUUGUAUGUACAUUGUUUUGACUAACUGUCAGCCAGAAGGAUCAUGAACACACCAGAGGACUGAUGCACAUUCAGUGAUAUCACAUAGAUAUGUUCAUUUCUAUCCAACUGGAACGGUGUGAAACAGCACUAAGUUGUACAGACGACUGUCACCGAGGGAAACAUGGACUCAGUGUAUUUCUCCAGAGGUUGAGUGUGUGCAGAUGUGCAUGAUAGACUGACAACUUGUACUGCUGUUCUUCUACGUGGACGGAAUCAUUUUAGUCAACGAAAUACUCCUGUGAGUGUUGAAGAAGGUCGAUCAUUUGUCACAAAAUAAUAGACAGUAUUGUUUUGGUUUUUUUUUUUGUUUUGAAAUCAUUGCACAUUUCUCAUUUUAUAUUGAAUUUAGUGAAAAAGGCAAAUGUUUCCUUUUUUUAUUUAUGGCAUAAUUUAAGCUGUUUGACUUUAAUUUGGUUUGAUUUUAUGCUCCAUUUAAUGUUUGUGUGGUUUUGUAAUGACAUGAUUAUGAUUGUGAGCAUCAUCUAGCUAAAGAACUGUGUUUGAUGACUUUGCAAGACUUGUGCUGGUGUGGAUGAGGAUGGAUGACUGGGAUGAGAGAAAAACAAUAUCUCCCUCAAGUGUUAUUCUAUGUCCUUAAAAGCUGUGAGAAAUUUACCAAAUGUCCAUAUAGAUUUGUGUUUAAAUUUCAGUUUGUGAUGUGUUCCCUCGCUCUAGAAUGUUUUACUUUUAAGAUAUCAUAUGACUUUUCUUUACACACUCAACUCUAUGAUAUCUGUAGUUCUUAGUUCCUCAAAGCCAUGUCAGAGGGUGGGCGGCGGGGGGGCAGUAUUUCUCGGUGUAUUUGGCAAACCAGUCUGCAGAACAGUUUUUUUGUUUUUUUUUUACCCUGUGUCUAUGUUAUUUCACUGAAUCGGAGAUGAAGAACCCCAUUUAAAAGGGACACUUGUAUAUUUUGUAAACUUGAAAAUUUGAUCCCCAUUUAUCAAUCAUAUGUAAAAAGAAAAAUGUAACGCACUCUUGUCUGGCCUUUGUCGCAUGUGAAAUAGUUUGAGUUUUGUAUAUUUAUGGUAUUAACAUGAAUUAAAAUUUGAAACAAAUGCA